RNAcentral lists this ribosomal RNA (973 nucleotides) under uncultured Gammaproteobacteria bacterium. RNAcentral's name for it is "bacterial SSU rRNA". It matches the Rfam family "Bacterial small subunit ribosomal RNA", at positions 273 to 1231 of the family's 1533-position model. Lineage: Bacteria; Pseudomonadati; Pseudomonadota; Gammaproteobacteria. The record is from RNAcentral.
ACUGACUCCCCUAGCAUGGGUUUUAAGACGGMUUAUCAGCCACACUGGAACUUGAGACACUGGUCCAGACUCCUACGGGAGGCAGCAGUGGGGAAUAUUGCACAAUGGGGGAAACCCUGAUGCAGCCAUGCCGCGUGUAUGAAGAAGGCCUUCGGGUUGUAAAGUACUUUCAGUUGUGAGGAAGGCGGUAACGUUAAUAGCGUUGCCGUUUGACGUUAGCAACAGAAGAAGCACCGGCUAACUCCGUGCCAGCAGCCGCGGUAAUACGGAGGGUGCGAGCGUUAAUCGGAAUUACUGGGCGUAAAGCGCAUGCAGGCGGUCUGUUAAGCAAGAUGUGAAAGCCCGGGGCUCAACCUCGGAACAGCAUUUUGAACUGGCAGACUAGAGUCUUGUAGAGGGGGGUAGAAUUUCAGGUGUAGCGGUGAAAUGCGUAGAGAUCUGAAGGAAUACCGGUGGCGAAGGCGGCCCCCUGGACAAAGACUGACGCUCUGAUGCGAAAGCGUGGGGAGCAAACAGGAUUAGAUACCCUGGUAGUCCACGCCGUAAACGAUGUCUACUUGGAGGUUGGGACCUUGAGUCCUGGCUUUCGGAGCUAACGCGUUGAGUAGACCGCCUGGGGAGUACGGUCGCAAGAUUAAAACUCAAAUGAAUUGACGGGGGCCCGCACAAGCGGUGGAGCAUGUGGUUUAAUUCGAUGCAACGCGAAGAACCUUACCUACUCUUNACAUCCAGAGAAUUCGCUAGAGAUAGCUUAGUGCCUUCGGGAACCCUGAGACAGGUGCUGCAUGCGCUGUCGUCAGCUCGUGUUGUGAAAUGUUGGGUUAAGUCCCGCAACGAGCGCAACCCUUAUCCUUGUUUGCCAGCACAUAAUGGUGGGAACUCCAGGGAGACUGCCGGUGAUAAACCGSAGGAAGGUGGGGACGRCGUCAAGUCAUCAUGGCCCUUACGWGUAGGGCUACACACGUGCUACAAU